Molecule: transfer RNA, 73 nt
Filed under: Coelastrum sp. F187
Lineage: Eukaryota; Viridiplantae; Chlorophyta; Chlorophyceae; Sphaeropleales; Scenedesmaceae
Description: tRNA-Lys
Rfam family: tRNA
About the family: Transfer RNA (tRNA) molecules are approximately 80 nucleotides in length. Their secondary structure includes four short double-helical elements and three loops (D, anti-codon, and T loops).
Source: RNAcentral
GGGUUUGUAGCUCAAUUGGCAGAGCAUCGGGCUUUUAACUCGCAGGUUAGGGGUUCGAGUCCCCUCGAACUCA